Molecule: ribosomal RNA, 858 nt
Filed under: Salmonella enterica subsp. enterica serovar Typhimurium
Lineage: Bacteria; Pseudomonadati; Pseudomonadota; Gammaproteobacteria; Enterobacterales; Enterobacteriaceae
Description: bacterial LSU rRNA
Rfam family: Bacterial large subunit ribosomal RNA
Source: RNAcentral
UCGUCACACUAUCAUUAACUGAAUCCAUAGGUUAAUGAGGCGAACCGGGGGAACUGAAACAUCUAAGUACCCCGAGGAAAAGAAAUCAACCGAGAUUCCCCCAGUAGCGGCGAGCGAACGGGGAGGAGCCCAGAGCCUGAAUCAGCAUGUGUGUUAGUGGAAGCGUCUGGAAAGGCGCGCGAUACAGGGUGACAGCCCCGUACACAAAAGCGCAUGUGCUGUGAGCUCGAUGAGUAGGGCGGGACACGUGGUAUCCUGUCUGAAUAUGGGGGGACCAUCCUCCAAGGCUAAAUACUCCUGACUGACCGAUAGUGAACCAGUACCGUGAGGGAAAGGCGAAAAGAACCCCGGCGAGGGGAGUGAAAAAGAACCUGAAACCGUGUACGUACAAGCAGUGGGAGCCCCACCACUAAGCCAGUGGUGAACUCCACAUCCGCAUCCUUUGCUGAGGAUACGGUUAACGGAGCGAAAGCGACGUUCAACCGCAAAACAAGCAGAGGGGGCUUAGUGGUGGGGUGACUGCGUACCUUUUGUAUAAUGGGUCAGCGACUUAUAUUCUGUAGCAAGGUUAACCGWAUAGGGGAGCCGGAGGGAAACCGAGUCUUAAUUGGGCGUUAAGUUGCAGGGUAUAGACCCGAAACCCGGUGAUCUAGCCAUGGGCAGGUUGAAGGUUGGGUAACACUAACUGGAGGACCGAACCGACUAAUGUUGAAAAAUUAGCGGAUGACCUGUGGCUGGGGGUGAAAGGCCAAUCAAACCGGGAGAUAGCUGGUUCUCCCCGAAAGCUAUUUAGGUAGCGCCUCGUGAAUUCAUCUCCGGGGGUAGAGCACUGUUUCGGCUAGGGGGCCAUCCCGGCUU